UACCAGCACCCCGAGUGGUCGGGACGAUUAUUGGGCCUAAAGCAUCCGUAGCCGGCCUUACAAGUCCUCCGUUAAAUCCAGCUGCUUAACAGAUGGGCUGCGGAGGAUACUAUAAGACUAGGAGGCAGGAGAGGCAAGCGGUACUCAGUGGGUAGGGGUAAAAUCCGUUGAUCCAUUGAAGACCACCAGUGGCGAAGGCGGCUUGCCAGAAUGCGCUCGACGGUGAGGGAUGAAAGCGUGGGGAGCAAACAGG
Molecule: ribosomal RNA, 253 nt
Filed under: uncultured bacterium
Lineage: Bacteria
Description: partial 16S ribosomal RNA
Rfam family: Archaeal small subunit ribosomal RNA
Source: RNAcentral